This 274-nucleotide ribosomal RNA is filed under the name uncultured bacterium. RNAcentral describes it as "partial 16S ribosomal RNA". It matches the Rfam family "Bacterial small subunit ribosomal RNA", at positions 523 to 796 of the family's 1533-position model. The record is from RNAcentral.
CUACGAAAGGUGCAAGCGUUGUUCGGAUUUACUGGGCGUAAAGAGAGUGUAGGUGGUUUAUUAAGUCGGAUGUGAAAUCCCGGGGCUCAACCUCGGAACUGCAUUCGAUACUGAUAGGCUAGAGUUCGGGAGGGGUAAGCGGAAUUCCGUGUGUAGCAGUGAAAUGCGUAGAUAUACGGAGGAACACCUGAGGCGAAGGCGGCUUACUGGACCGAUACUGACACUGAGACUCGAAAGCGUGGGUAGCAAACAGGAUUAGAAACCCGAGUAGUCC